UGGGGAAUAUUGCACAAUGGGCGCAAGCCUGAUGCAGCCAUGCCGCGUGUAGGAAGAAGGCCUUCGGGUUGUAAAGUACUUUCAGCGAGGAGGAAGGCGUUGUGGUUAAUAACCGCAGCGAUUGACGUUACUCGCAGAAGAAGCACCGGCUAACUCCGUGCCAGCAGCCGCGGUAAUACGGAGGGUGCAAGCGUUAAUCGGAAUUACUGGGCGUAAAGCGCACGCAGGCGGUCUGUCAAGUCGGAUGUGAAAUCCCCGGGCUCAACCUGGGAACUGCAUCCGAAACUGGCAGGCUAGAGUCUUGUAGAGGGGGGUAGAAUUCCAGGUGUAGCGGUGAAAUGCGUAGAGAUCUGGAGGAAUACCGGUGGCGAAGGCGGCCCCCUGGACAAAGACUGACGCUCAGGUGCGAAAGCGUGGGGAGCAAACA
This 427-nucleotide ribosomal RNA is filed under the name uncultured bacterium. RNAcentral describes it as "partial 16S ribosomal RNA". It matches the Rfam family "Bacterial small subunit ribosomal RNA", at positions 355 to 774 of the family's 1533-position model. The record is from RNAcentral.